CAUAUGAGCGCUGCACCUCCGUUUUCCCACACUCCCAGCUUUCCCUGGCACGACCCAAACUCCACACAACAAACACAGGUACUGAAUAACCAUUUAGCGCCUCAAUUUACUACACACUUUUUAUCCCAUGGGAUCAUAGGAGGCAGCACUUCCUCCCAUGACGUCAGUAUGUGUAGCAGCGGAAGUAGGCGUUCCCGGAGCAGCAUGGAUAGAGAGCACAGAAGGUCAGUGUCGCUGUUUCUGUUAUAGCCGCGUGGCUUUGGCGGGACUUUAUUUUAUGCUUCGGCCAUGCGCGUGUGUAUAAAAGUGCGUUUCCUUCCAAAUUGCCUGAAGAUUUAGACACAGAUCGUCUGCUCAAAGCGAUGCAGCACUUCCGUUGUUAGUGCAAGGAAACCCACGGCCUGACUUGUUUCUCUCAUAGGAUAACAAAGACGUGGUGAGGCACAAUGGUAAGACAUAGUAAGUUACAAAAGCAAAUUCUAAGUCUUUACAGACAGUUUUUACAAGCUGGGAAAGAGAAACCUGGGUUUGUACCCCGAAUCCGAGAUGAAUUCAGAAAAAAUGCAAAGAUCCCAAAGACAGAUGUAAUGCACAUAGAGUAUCUUCUGCGGCGGGGCCAACGGCAACUGCAACAACUACAGGAUGUAAAUACGAAACAACUGGGAACCUUCAUCAAAUCCCCCACUGACUGGAACCAUUAAUAUCAUUGUAUUUCUCAUAUUUGUAUAAAUGUAAUUACUCAUUAUAUAUAAAUUAUAUAUAACAAAUCGUUGCUCUUUAAUGGACUUAGUAUUUCUUAGGCAGGAUUAAUAUACAUUUCCAAAAGUACUAUCUGCAUAGCGAUGGCACAGUGAUCUUACCAAUAUGGCAGCCUUACCUACACUACUGCUGCUGUUGCUGCUGCUGCUACUACUACUACUGCUGCUGCUGCUGCUAGUAGUAGUGGUGGUACUAGUAAUGGCAUUUAAUUUCUAUUGUGCAGUAAGAGAUAUGGGCUAGCAAAGCUCAAUAGAGCCGAUAAUGGAUAAUUAAUGUCACAACUGUCACAUCACGAAGUAAAAAGGACAAGAGCAGAACUAUGUGGCGGCCUAGCAGAAAAAGGUUUACAGAGACACGGUGCCUCAAUACAGGGAAGCAAUUAUGUCACCAAAACCUGGAGACAAUUGUGCCUCUGGGCUAUAAAUACUGACAUUCUUGGUGAUACAAUUAAUGGCAGAUCUCAAAAGCAAUGGUUCAAUCAUCUUAAUACUAUUAUAUACAAAUGGAAACUUUUUUACGUGAGAGGGGUUAGCAAAUCUCUAAUGCUGGCCAUAGAAGUAAUAAUAUAUGAAAUGAUCAUUGGUGCUUGUAUGACGGCCCACUAAUCACCGUGUACUGUGGAUAUUAGUUGGUGUGGGGAAGUUUUGAAGAUAAGUCCUGUUUGCUCCUUGUGUGUUCUCCAAUUGGCCUGUAUUUUCAUUGGAGAGUUUACACCUUUAAACAUGUCCAUAUAGCCAUACUCACAUCCUACUAAGCCUUUAUUAGUUUUGAUACAGACACUGGAAGACUAGCCAAGUAUUUUAAAGGGUAACUCCAGCUUCCAAACCAAAAUGUGAUAAAGAGGCCCAUAUAGAAACCACUAAUAUCCGUUACAGUUCAAAAAGUAUGAAUAAAUGCCAUUUUCUAUGCU
This is an RNA transcript of Xenopus laevis (African clawed frog), 1669 nucleotides long. It is a transcript of the gene named succinate dehydrogenase assembly factor 1, mitochondrial, with no coding region annotated. NCBI's taxonomy places the organism in Eukaryota, Metazoa, Chordata, Amphibia, Anura, Pipidae. The transcript is spliced from 2 exons. The record is from RefSeq and is a predicted model, not a curated record.